UCCGGGAUAACCCGGGAAACUGGGGAUAAUACCGGAUAGAUCAAACUUGCUGGAAGGCUGUUUGGUUGAAACUUCCGGGGCUUUUGGAUGGGUCUGCGGCUGAUUAGGUUGUUGCCGGUGUAACGUACCGUCAAGCCUGUAAUCAGUACGGGUUGUGGGAGCAAGAGCCCGGAGAUGGAUUCUGAGACACGAAUCCAGGCCCUACGGGGCGCAGCAGGCGCGAAAACUCUACAAUGCAGGCAACUGCGAUAGGGGAACAUCGAGUGAUCCUCAUAUUGGGGGUCUGUCCACCCGUCUAAAAAACGGGUGUUAGCAAGGGCCGGGCAAGACCGGUGCCAGCCGCCGCGGUAAUACCGGCGGCUCGAGUGGUGGCCGAUAUUAUUGAGUCUAAAGGGUCCGUAGCCGGCUUUGCAAGUCUCUCGGGAAAUCCAGCGGCUUAACCGUUGGUCGUCCGGGGGGUACUACAUUGCUUGGGACUGGGAGAGGUAGGAGGUACUCAGGGGGUAGGAGUGAAAUCCUGUAAUCCUCUGGGGACCACCGGUGGCGAAGGCGUCCUACCAGAACAGGUCCGACGGUGAGGGACGAAAGCUAGGGGCACGAACCGGAUUAGAUACCCGGGUAGUCCUAGCCGUAAACGAUGCUCGCUAGGUGUCACAACAGUCGUGAACUGUUGUGGUGCCGUAGGGAAGCCGUGAAGCGAGCCACUUGGAAGUACGACCGCAAGGUUGAAACU
Molecule: ribosomal RNA, 733 nt
Filed under: uncultured archaeon
Lineage: Archaea
Description: bacterial SSU rRNA
Rfam family: Archaeal small subunit ribosomal RNA
Source: RNAcentral